CAGAGUAUAGCCCAACAAGAAAAGCAUCUCCCUUACACUGAGAAAAUAUUCGUGCAAAUCGAAUUACACUGA
RNAcentral lists this transfer RNA (72 nucleotides) under Brephamia parvula. RNAcentral's name for it is "tRNA-Val". It matches the Rfam family "tRNA". Rfam says of the family: Transfer RNA (tRNA) molecules are approximately 80 nucleotides in length. Their secondary structure includes four short double-helical elements and three loops (D, anti-codon, and T loops). Further hydrogen bonds mediate the characteristic L-shaped molecular structure. tRNAs have two regions of fundamental functional importance: the anti-codon, which is responsible for specific mRNA codon recognition, and the 3' end, to which the tRNAs corresponding amino acid is attached (by aminoacyl-tRNA synthetases). tRNAs cope with the degeneracy of the genetic code in two manners: having more than one tRNA (with a specific anti-codon) for a particular amino acid; and 'wobble' base-pairing, i.e. permitting non-standard base-pairing at the 3rd anti-codon position. The record is from RNAcentral. Lineage: Eukaryota; Metazoa; Chordata; Actinopteri; Kurtiformes; Apogonidae.